UACGGAGGGUGCAAGCGUUAUCCGGAUUCACUGGGUUUAAAGGGUGCGUAGGAGGGCAGGUAAGUCAGUGGUGAAAUCCCCAAGCUUAACUUGGGAACUGCCGUUGAUACUAUCUGUCUUGAAUACCGUGGAGGUGAGUGGAAUAUGUCAUGUAGCGGUGAAAUGCUUAGAUAUGACAUAGAACACCAAUUGCGAAGGCAGCUCGCUACACGAAUAUUGACUCUGAGGCACGAAAGCGUGGGGAUCAAACAGG
RNAcentral lists this ribosomal RNA (253 nucleotides) under uncultured bacterium. RNAcentral's name for it is "partial 16S ribosomal RNA". It matches the Rfam family "Bacterial small subunit ribosomal RNA", at positions 524 to 776 of the family's 1533-position model. The record is from RNAcentral.